AGUUUAUGAGCUUGUUAAAGCAUAUGUUUUGAAAACAUAAGAAAGGAAAAAUCUUCCUAUUAACUU
This 66-nucleotide transfer RNA is filed under the name Elateroidea sp. 9 KM-2017. RNAcentral describes it as "tRNA-Ser". Lineage: Eukaryota; Metazoa; Arthropoda; Insecta; Coleoptera. The record is from RNAcentral.